AUACGGAGGGAGCAAGCGUUAUUCGGAAUCACUGGGCGUAAAGGACGCGUAGGAGGGUUUGUAAGUCAGGUGUGAAAUCCUACAGCUCAACUGUAGAACUGCACUUGAAACUACAGACCUAGAGUAUGGAAGGGGCAGAUGGAAUUAGUGGUGUAUGGGUAAAAUCCGUAGAUAUCACUAGGAAUACCGAAAGCGAAGGCGAUCUGCUGGGACAUUACUGACGCUGAGGCGUGAAAGCGUGGGGAGCAAACAGGAUUAGAAACCCUAGUAGUCC
Molecule: ribosomal RNA, 274 nt
Filed under: uncultured bacterium
Lineage: Bacteria
Description: partial 16S ribosomal RNA
Rfam family: Bacterial small subunit ribosomal RNA
Source: RNAcentral